This 72-nucleotide transfer RNA is filed under the name Ictidomys tridecemlineatus (thirteen-lined ground squirrel). RNAcentral's name for it is "Spermophilus tridecemlineatus (thirteen-lined ground squirrel) tRNA". It matches the Rfam family "tRNA". Rfam says of the family: Transfer RNA (tRNA) molecules are approximately 80 nucleotides in length. Their secondary structure includes four short double-helical elements and three loops (D, anti-codon, and T loops). Further hydrogen bonds mediate the characteristic L-shaped molecular structure. tRNAs have two regions of fundamental functional importance: the anti-codon, which is responsible for specific mRNA codon recognition, and the 3' end, to which the tRNAs corresponding amino acid is attached (by aminoacyl-tRNA synthetases). tRNAs cope with the degeneracy of the genetic code in two manners: having more than one tRNA (with a specific anti-codon) for a particular amino acid; and 'wobble' base-pairing, i.e. permitting non-standard base-pairing at the 3rd anti-codon position. Lineage: Eukaryota; Metazoa; Chordata; Mammalia; Rodentia; Sciuridae. The record is from Rfam by way of RNAcentral.
UGGGUUGUGGCUCAGUGGUAGAGCGCUCACCUAGCAUGUGUGAGGCCCUGGGUUCGAUCCUCAAUACCACAU